AUUGAACGCUGGCGGCAUGCCUUACACAUGCAAGUCGAACGGUAACGGGCCUUCGGGUGCCGACGAGUGGCGAACGGGUGAGUAAUACAUCGGAACGUGCCCGAUCGUGGGGGAUAACGAGGCGAAAGCUUUGCUAAUACCGCAUACGAGCUACGGAUGAAAGCAGGGGACCGCAAGGCCUUGCGCGGGCGGAGCGGCCGAUGGCAGAUUAGGUAGUUGGUGGGAUAAAAGCUUACCAAGCCGACGAUCUGUAGCUGGUCUGAGAGGAUGAUCAGCCACACUGGAACUGAGACACGGUCCAGACUCCUACGGGAGGCAGCAGUGGGGAAUUUUGGACAAUGGGCGCAAGCCUGAUCCAGCCAUGCCGCGUGCAGGAUGAAGGCCUUCGGGUUGUAAACUGCUUUUGUACGGAACGAAAAGCCUUCUUUUAAUACAGGAGGGUCAUGACGGUACCGUAAGAAUAAGCACCGGCUAACUACGUG
This 482-nucleotide ribosomal RNA is filed under the name uncultured bacterium. RNAcentral describes it as "partial 16S ribosomal RNA". It matches the Rfam family "Bacterial small subunit ribosomal RNA", at positions 30 to 507 of the family's 1533-position model. The record is from RNAcentral.